CAUACAUCCACUCAUUUCCAUCUCUAGAUUUACCCAAAAUUAUUCUACUCCUAUCCAGGAGAGAAUAGCCAAAAACAUUAUCCUAUUCCUGUUACUCCCUGUGAAAUAAAUGCUCGAGAUAUUUUGGUUACUACCACUUGCUACAUUAUUCUAUGAGGGUGAGUGCUCUGAAAAAAGUGAAUACGAGGAAAUAAAAAGGGGCAAGUGCCCGAAACCUCGAAAGAAAAGAAAAACUGAGACGAGAGGUAAAAAUGGACAAGUAUCCGACAGUAGAAUUAGGGGUACAAGAUACCCACCUGAGAGAAAAGAAAAAGAAAAUAUACAGCAUCUCAUUCCUCUCAAAAACCUUCAAAGUGCAAGAAAGGUAUGUAUCCCCUCAAAAGAGCAAAAGUAGAAUUAGACUUUUACCAUUAUUUUCACCAUUAUCACCAUCAUCACCAUACACCAUUCAUCCGCCACACAUGCACAUCUUGAUUUGACUUAUUGACUUGUUUCUCUGGAUCUAUGGUUUGACUAUGCAAUAAAUGUCUUGUAAGUAUGUAUUAGUUGUCCCCACCUAUGAGCUCUAGAUAUCAAAACCUUGUUAGAGUAGGGUGAGAGAGAAGGCAAUAUCAUUAUGCCUCAUACCAAAAAUACCACAUACUUUGAGAGAAGGCAUAUAUCAUCACUGCCUUGGUAAGGAUCCAGAAAUACCACAAAAGAGAGAUUUGAGAGAGUCAUACAAGGAAUCUCUAAGUUUUAUUUGAAAACCUGCAAAAACUCCAGAGCUAUAGUUGAUCAAAGAACAAGAGAUAUGGUGCUUGACUUGACCGUUCUAUCUUUUAACUGCUCAAGACACAAGUGACGGUUGCAAGCCCCAUGGUGGAAGGUAAUAUGAGUAAGUUUAAAUCUUAACAGUUUACCUUAACCUAUAGAUGAGAUCUUGUUUGAACGCAUGAGUACCUUUAAGGCAUAAAACCACUGCAAAAACUCUUGAGUCUAUCCUUGCUCAGGGACGAGUAAGAGGUAAGCUUGGGGGAGUUUGUUGAUGGUCCUUAAGUAUCAAGUUUAAUCAUCAAAUAAAUAAAUAAAAGGAUCCAAAUGCAACCAACACCUAGACUUAGGGUUUCAUCUGAUAGAAUUCCAUAAGUUUUGGUGUUUGUCUAUUUCUGCAGGGGGUUAUCAGGAAAUAUGGAGUAUAGGCCCACACGUCGGGUUUACAUAGAGAUAUUAACGUGCCACGCAAUUUUCUAUCAUCUAGAAGACUUCAGAAGCCACGGGAACAAAGUGGAAGCCGAGAGGGCUCUGGGACAGGGCGCCCGCCCAAGUCCUUAGGGCGCCCGCCCACCUAUUUCGGCCAAUCACGUUCAACUUCGCAGAUUACGCUCCACCGACCUAAAGGAUCAAGAAUAACUGUUCAAUCAAUGUCGGUUUGAUCCGAUGGCCCAGAUUCACUUGAAGGGACUAUAUAACCAGACCCCCUGGCCCCUGGAGGAGGUACCCCUUGAUCAUUAUUCAUAGACAGAGCAAAAGCUAGGGUUUAGAGAUGAGUGCUCUCCUCUCUUCUCUAAACUAGAGUAGAUCUAGAUAGUAGCGAGAUGGAGAGCGAGGGAGGAUUGGAGGAGAGGCCGGCCUGUCGGUUCUUCCUCCGGUUGUACUUCGCCAUGAUCAAGCUCUAAUCAAGCUUGCUCAUGAGAUGAUUCUGGUAAUCUACUUCUAAUUCAUUAUGCAAUUACUAAAUAUGUAUGUUCUGGUUCACAACUCUUUUGAGUACUUUAAUCUAUAGGACGCUAUAAGUGAGAGUUUUAGUAUAGGUGUAAGCGUGGUGCUUAGACCUAGAUUACUUGUGGAUAUCCCCUGUCUAGCUGGAUCUUGUGGUAGGCCGCGUAGGUGACAGUUACGUUGGUCCCUUGUAGUCCACCUCUUGUUAGUAGGACGGGUAGGGUUUAUCGGCCUAUGGAUAAGCAUCCUUUGUGGUGUAUUCUUAUCACGUGGUUCGUCCCAGACAUAGACAUACCCCUUUGAAGUAGAGAAACCAUAGUUAUCCUCUCUAUUCUGCUACCAUCGCCCAUAUACUAGAUUGCUUUACUCUUUAUUCCGAUUGUUAUCUUACCUUUAAUAUUGUUCUUAUUCAAUUCUACCAUCUUUCCUAUUUACACUUAUCUAUCUAUCUUGGUUAAGUUAGAGCAUAGUUGGUUCUCCCAUUUCUCUGUGGAUACGAUAAAACUUUUAACCGGGUAAAAGCUACAACGGUAUCCGUGCGCUUGCGGAUUUAUCUGUGUGCGUAUAAAUACCAUAGUACACUCUAGUGCCAUGCUGGGGAUGACAACCUAGUAUUCAAGUGGUGUUAGCAUGUGUCAACAGUAGGGCACCGGCCCUCCCCCCUUGGGCGCCCGCCCUAGCCUGAGGGCCAAUCACGCUCCACCUCGCGGAUCAUGCUCCACCGACCUAAGGGAUUAACGAAAAUCAUGCGAUUAAUGUCGGUUUGAUUUGACGGCUCAUAUUCAUUUGGAGGGACUAUAUAAGCAGACCCCCUGGCCCCUGAAGGAGAGCAAUCUGAAACCCUAAUUAAUUUAUCCAUCUCGGGAGAAGAAGCCUCUGAUCAAGCCCUAGAGCCACCACAUCAAUAGAUCUCUAGUUUAGCAUAGCUACGUAGGAUUAGAUCUAUAAGGAGUCAAUCUUCGAUUGGUUUCUGGAUCUUUCAAGAGGAUUCUUGGUAAUUCCUCUACUAUUCUUCAAUUGUUCAUCAUUGUUCUUCAAUAUUAUGAAUAUGACUUUAUUCUACUUCAAUAUAUUGAUUAUGACUUUGCUCUACUUGUUUAUAUUCACAAUUAUAUUAUUCUUAGUUUAUCAUAGUUAUAUGCUUGGCUUAGUUAGAUUGGAAUUAUAUACAUGUUUAGGAUUGUAUAGCGUUUAUCCAUGUGUACAGUGGGUAAAUGAUAAGUAUUAUGUAGGCAUGGUGCCUAUACCGUAUUUAUCUGUGAUUGUACCCUAUAUGCCGGAUCGCGGGGUAGUUCGUGGUAGUGACAGCUCCAUUGAUUCUUAUAUAGUCCCCCUCUCGUGUAUAGGGCAGGUAGAGCAACAUUAUUACAGGGGAGUGAAUGCUAUGUUUCUCAUCUUCCUUGAUAAUAUCACUAUGCAUGGGUGUAAUCCUGUCUCGCAAUGAUUGCCAAGUAUAAUUGCACUAACUAUGAUAUGCUAGACUGUAUAGUUAUGAAUAACUUAGGAAAUAUUCUUGUAGUUCAUCCUAAUUCCAUGCUAAUGACUUGCUAGAAUAUCUGUUGAGGUGCUUAUCAUAUUUAUAUGUGGCUAGUUAUGCUGAUCAGAUUAAUUAUCUUUGUCACCAUUCAUACUUUAUCUAUAUUUUUUGUGACAUUUAUCCCUAUAUGAAAGAGAUAGAUAAUGCUCUCAAUUAUACUUGCAAUGAUAGAUACUCAAUUCUAUAUUCCAUUCCAUAAUCAACAUUGAUGAUUAGAAAUCCCUUCCCGGUGGUAAAAAUAUAAAAAACGAUACCUAGAAUACUUCCCGGUUAAAAUGCUACAUCGGUAUAAAUCUGUGCGCUUGCAGAUCUCAUUUAUUAUUUAUUUAGUAGAACAAUUGCAUAUUUCAAUACCGCAUCUCUCAUGUCAUGCUGGGGAUGACAACUUGGCUUAAGUGGCAUGAGGGAUAGGUUCGGCAUUUUUGGCGCCGUUAUCAGAAUUAGAAAACUAAGUCUACUUUUGGUAGUGACGUUAAGAAUGCCCAACAAGCAUUUUUGGCGCCGUUGCCGGGGAAGGUUGAUUACUAAUCAGGAAUGAAUAUGGAAUUUUGAGUCAUCAUUCGCAUCACUAAUAUGAUUGAGAUUAUCAAUUCUCUCAUACAGUUUUACCCCAGUAUUUUUCAAUUUUAUUUUAUGCAGGGUAAUGUAUGAAUAGAAGACAUCUUCUAGGAAAUUUUGUUGACAUUCCCGAAGCAUUAUUUAGAAAAACAAGAGCCAAGCUCAAGAAGGCAUCGUCAACACUUCAGCACGAAGCUUCAUCCAACCAAGAAGACCGCCGAAGUUUCAUCCGGAACUUGUCUUCAGAAUUCUAAGUCAUGGCGAACAAAUCGAUCCGUGAGUUCUCAGCUCCCACUACGGACAACAUCCGCACUGGACCUGCUACAGAGAUCGAUGGCAACUUUGAGCUCAAGCCUGGACUUAUCAACAUGGUGCAAUCCAACCAGUUCUGUGGGAAGGCAUACGAAGAUGCUAGUGCUCAUCUCCAACACUUCCUGGAGAUUUGCAGCACAUUCACCAUAUCAAGAGUCCCUAGAGAUGUUAUACUACUUCGCCUCUUCCCAUUCUCACUGUUGGGGAGAGCGAAGCAGUGGUUUUACGCUACAAAAGAGAAGAAUACUACGUGGGCACUCUGCUACAUGAACUUUCUGGCUAAGUUCUUUCCUAUAGGCAAGACCAAUGCUCUCCGUGGGAAAAUUACAAGUUUUCAGUAACAACAUGAUGAAUCCGUUCCAGAAGCAUAGGAGCGCUUCCAAGACUACAUCCUAGAAUAUCCCCAUCAUGGAAUGGAGAGCUGGCUACUAAUGCAGACAUUUUAUCAUGGGCUCGGCAAUAGUGCCCAUGAGACCAUGGAUGCUGCAGCUGGAGGAGCAUUCCUAUCACUCACCAUACCACAAGCCAUAGCUCUUGUGGAGAAAAUGGCGUCCAACCAAGGCUGGAAUGAUGAAAAGACCCACACACGCAAGAGAGGUGGAGGUAUGCACCAACUCAAGGAGGUAGACAUGCUGUCUGCCAAGCUAGACCUGCUCAUGAAGAAGCUCGAUGAUAGAGUUGGAGAUAAGAAAGAAGUUAUGCAUAUCUACGAUUCUCACAUGACUUGUGAGGCGCGUGGAGAUACUGGAUACUCCGGCAAUCUCUGCCAUGAGAUGCUCGAGGACAUGAACUACAUCAACAACAAUGACAACAACAACUACUACAACCGACCUCAACAAAAUCAAGGAUGGAAUCAACAGAGGCCUAACUACUCAGGUAAUUAUCAAGGUAACAAUUCUUACAAUAAUAAGAAUAAUAAUUUUCCACCUCUGAGAGAGUUAGUGUCUAAUCAAGGAAAGCUAAUGGAUAACCUAUCUAAGAAAUUGGCAUCUAAUGAUAAAAUGUUAGAAAAUAUAAAUAAUAGAAUGGAUAAUUUAUCUACUGCCAUCAAGAAUCAAAUUAGCUUUCAUAAAAUUAUUGAAUCUCAGUUAAAUCAAAUAGCUGCUGCUGUUCCUGCUACUACCCCCGUUAUAUCGUCACAACCAGAAGGAUUAGAAUCUGCAAAUCUUAUAGACAUGUUUGAUACAAGUAACUACUAGAGUAACAACAUUGCAGAAGUAACUACUGACCUUCUGCCAGUCAAGAGAGGCGAUCCAGGACGCCCCGUCAUCCCGAUCUCCAUCGGCAUGGUGGACUUCGCAGAAGCACUCUAUGACUUUGGCUCUAGUGUCAACAUUAUGCCUAGGGUACUCUAUGAAAAAUUCUUUACAUAUCCUUUAUUAGAAACAACCAUGUGUUUGCAGUUUGCAGAUCAGACGCUAAGUUUCCCAAAGGGAAUGUUGAAGAACCUUUGCGUCCGAGUUGGUACCUUGUACGCCCCAGCAGACUUCGUGGUGAUAGAGACCGGUAAUGAUGAGAGGGCACCCGUCAUCUUAGGGAGGCCAUUCCUGAACACCUCAGGAGCUGUCAUCUAUGCUAGUGCUGCCAAGAUCAGUUUCUACAUUAAGGGGAGGAAGGAGACGUUUUCCUUCAAGAACAAGACUAUGCAAAUCUCGGAGCAAUCCCGACAUGAACCAAGGAAGAGGACCAAUAGGAGGAACAGGAACAAGCAAGUGUGGACCGAGUUAGUUAAGAUGGUCACUGCAGUUCAAGAAGGUCAAGAUCGUCGACUCAAGUCACCGUUCCUGACCAAAAAGGACGACCCAGGUAUGCCAAGCAUCCACUGCUCCAUUAAUGGGCACAACUUCUAUAAGACGAUUUGUGACACCGGAUCGGGCGUCAACAUAAUGGCCGCACUCACCUAUCAGAUCUUGUUCGGAACCAUGCCCCUAAAAUCGACAUGCAUUCAGCUAAAGAUGGCAGAUCAGACAUUUCAAAAGGUUGAUGGUAUAGUAACUGAUGUCCCUGUGAAAAUAGAUGUCAAUGGUGUCAAUAAAAGGGUGCCCAAACCAAUACGCAUAACAACAAUACCCGUACACCGAGGCCCCUGACUCGACGUCCCCCGUUCAUACGCUCGAUUGCUAAAACGCGAUGACGACCAUAGCCUUGAAUACAGAGAAGGGGUCGUGCGAAUCGGCUGAGGCUCGACUAAGCAUCAACCGUCGAAUACGGAACUGGCUCAUACAAAUCGACAGGCCUCGAGCGCAAGGACGCCACCCGCCGCCUAACGCGGGUACGGGAACCAGGGCAUUUAAUGCGCCUGUCGCGUUCUCACCUAACCCGGCAGUCACGGGAAGCAUGAUAGGGAGCAAGCAGUCAUCCAAUGACCCUUUUUGUAGCCUUGUCCACCAGAUGAACCAGAGUAGGGCAGGGCACAGUGAGACGGUCGGAACGUCUUGUCACAACCCCCCUCGAGACACCCAAAGUCAGCACUCCUAUCAGCAAGGCUUUGCGCGGCAUCGGACCCUCGAGUGAACACGUUCCUUCCCAAAGAAGAAUCAGGCGGUGAAAGACAGCACCUCAACCACUCUGACGCGAUAACAGCCAUGACGUACAGGCGUGCCCACGGUUAAGCCAAUCCGGGAUGGCGCGCAGGAGCCGAAUUUAGAGGCAUGCAUAAUCAUCAUCCAAGUACUGAGUAACAAGACGGCUCGAGGCCACACCGGUACGGAAGCCUCAAGUAGGUCAGCGCACAACGCCCCUAUCAACCCCUACUCUAUCACCUACGCCAUGUAACCUAGGUCACCCCUUGGAGCUAUAAAAGGGGAGGCACCGGAAAGGAUAGGAGAGACGAGACAUACGUAGAAGAACAACCACACUUCAUCUCCGUCCAUCACCGCAAUACCGACUUGUAUCCACCCCUGUACAAGCACUUAGGUGCAAGAUAAUAGAAACAUCUCCCUCCCCCCGCUAGACGUAGGGCCUUCUUGCAUCACCAUCUAUGAAAGGGAACACGCACACAAGUUUCACUCAUUGGUGUGACCCCCCGUGGGGAAAACACCGACAAUAGACGAUCAUUUUGUCCAUACAGACUUUCAGGUUGUUGACAUGGGAGAAGACGAGUACGAUCCACCCAUCAUCCUUGGGAGACCUUUCCACAGCACUGUUAAAGCAAUCAUCUACAUUGGAACUAGAGAAGUCCAUAUGCACUUCCCCUCUAAGAAGGUAUGCCACUAUUUUACUGACCCUAACUAUAUAGUUGAAGACUCUAAGCAGGUCAGGACAAGAAGAAGACAACGCAACCGCAACUAGAGGAGGCAAAUCAUCAAGGACGAAUGGGCAGACUACGAAGGAGAAGUUGUAAGGUCUGAAGACAUACAGCUUGAACAAAAUUAUCUUGAGGAGACCGUAGCACCGAGUCAGGUGUGGAGAGAGAAGAUAGUGAUACAUGAAGAGGAGGCGCCGCCGGAAGCACCGACUACGCCAUCCAGUGAAUCCCAGGACGACUCUGAAAACGGAGAGUCCCGUUCAGAGGACUUAAAAACACAGAACGCCUUGCCAAGAGGUAAACUUGGUACUUAUCCUUUUCCUUUCAAUUAUUUAAAAUUGUUUGCUUAGUUAAUCAUGUUCAUAUUAUCCUAAAAAGAAAAUAAAAAAAUGUUAAAACCAGUAAGCCCCAUGUGAGUAUACAAGUGGCAUAAAACCCAUAAGUACAUUCACUCUGGUGGCAUAAAAAAAUAAUAAAAUAAAAAUAUUCUUCUGCUCUAUAAAAAAUGAGAAUAUAAAAAUUGUGAUCCCACCAAAGAGAGUCACAUUUAUUGAGGAGGCUCAACAUGAUAAAAGCUAGAUAUUUAUGCUAACACCUAAUCAGUUCCACAAAGCUUUGUUGUCUAUUUGAGCUCCACAGAAUUCAAGGACCAAGAAGACUAGCAGACAGAGGACAUUCUAAUUGCUGUCAGGGUGCUACCGACAUUCAAAUACACCUCUACCACCUGCUAGCUACAUCAGAAGAAAUUACGUCAAAAUCCAGCUUUGGGGAGAGCACCCACAUUUAUCCCGCUAAGUAUUUCUAUCUACAUUUAUACUUAUACUAUAUUAAAAUAAAAAUAUACAUAACCAUAAAAAACCAAAUAAAGAUUUUGUGCUUAUAUAUAUAUAUAUGUGUGUAUUUUGCUUAGUGUGCUUAAUAAAUAAAUAAAGUGACUAUGCUAGACUGAAUCUUAAUAAAACUCUAGCAUCGAUAUUGUUGACGGUCCUUAAGUAUCAAAAUUAAUUAUCAAAUAAACAAAGAAAAGGAUCCAAAUGAAAUCAACAUCCAAACUUAGGGUUUUAUCUGACAGAAUUCCACGUGUUUUGGUGUUUGUCUAUUUCUGCAGGGGGUUAACAGGAAAUACGGAAGAAAGGCCCACACGUCGGGAUUACAUAGAGAUAUCAAUGUGUCGGGCAAUUAUCUUACAUCUAGAAGACUCCAGAAGCCACGGGAAAGAAGCGGAGGCCGAACGGGGCCAGGCACUGGGCGCCCGCCCCCUCCUGGAGUCCAAACAGGACUCUCUUUCAGGAAAGAUCUCCACCGACCUAAAGGAUCAAGGAUAACCGUUCAAUCAAUGUCGGUUUGAUCCAACGGCCCAUAUUCACUUGAAGGGACUAUAAAACCAGACCCCCUGGUCCCUGGAGGAGAGGAGCCUCUCAACCCUAAUUCAUUAUUCUCAAGGGAGAAGAAGCCUCUAAUCAAGAUUAGAGCCACCACGUCAAUUAGAUAUCUAGAUUAGCAUAGCUACAUAGGAUUAGAACUAGAAGGAGUUAAUCUUCGAUUGGUUUCCGGAUCUGUCAAGAGGAUUCUUGGUAAUUCUCUAAUUGUUCUUCUAAUUUUUCUUCUAAUUAUCUUUGUUCUUCAAUAUUAUGAAUAUGACUUUGUUCAACUUCGGUAUAUUGCUUAUGACUUUGCUCUACUUGUUUAUAUUCAAGAUUAUAUUGUUCUUGCGUCAAAAAGAUUAUAUUGUUCUUAGUUUAUCAUAGUUAUAUCCUUGGCUUAGUUAGAUUGGAUCUAUAUACAUGUUUAGGAUCGUGUAGCGUUUAUCCAUCGGAUCCAUGGGUAAAUGAUAGAUAUUGUGUAGGCGUGGUGCUUAUACCGUAUUUAUCUGCGAUUGUACCCAAUAUGCCAGAUCGUGGGGUAGUUCGUGAUAGUGACAGCUUCAUUGAUUCUUAUAUAGUCCCCCUCUCGUGUAUUGGGCUGGCAGAGCAACUUUAUUACAGGGGAGAGAUUGCUAUGUUUCUCAUUUACCUUGCUAAUAUCACUAUGCAUGGGCGUAGUCUUGUCUCACAAUGAUUGCUAAGUAUGCUUGCACUAACUAUGAUAAUGCUAGACUAUAUAGUUGAGAAUAACUUAGGAAAUAUUCUUGUAGUUCGUUCUAAUUCCAUGCUAAUGACUUUCUAGAAUAUCUAAUUGUGGUGCUUAUCAUAUUUAUUAUGUGGCUAGUUAUGCUGAUCAGAUUAAUUAUCCUUGUCACUAUUCAUUAUUUCAUAUAUCUUUUAUGUGACACUUGUCCCUGUAUGAUAGAGUUAGAUAAAUGUUCUCAAUUAUACAUGCAAUGAUAGAUACUCAAUCUCAUAUUCUAUUCUGUAAUCAAUAUUGAUGAUUGCUAAUCCCUUCCCAGUGGUAAAAAUAUAAAUAACGAUACCUGGAAUACUUCCCGGUUAAAAUGCUACAUCGGUAUUAAUCUGUGCGCUUGCAGAUCUCAUUCAUUAUUUAUUUAGAAGAGCAAUUGCAUAUUUCAAUACCGCGUCUCUCAUGUCAUGCUGGGGAUGACAACUUGGCUUAAGUGGUAUGAGGGAUAGGUUUGGCAUUUUUGGCACCGUUAUCAGAAUUAGAAAACUAAGUCUACUUUUGGUAGUGAUGUUAAGAAUACCCAACAAGCAUUUUUGGCGCCGUUGCCAGGGAAGGUUGAUUACUAAUCAGGAAAGAAUAUAGGAUUUUGAGUUAUCAUUCGCAUCACUAAUAUGAUUGAGCUUAUCAAUUCUCUCAUACAGUUUUACCCCGAUUUUUUUCUUUUUUAUCUUAUGUAGGGUAAUGUAUGAAUAGAAGAUAUCUUCCAGGAAACUUUGUUGACAAUCCCGAAGCAUUAUUCAGAAAAACAAGAGCCAAGCUCAAGAAAAGAUCAUCAACACUUCAGCAAGAAGCUUCAUCCAAUCAAGAAGAUCAUCGGAACUUGUCUUCAGAGUUCGAAGCCAUGGCAAACAAAUCGAUCCGCGAGUUCUCAGCUCCCACUACGGACAACAUCCGCACUGGACCUGCUGCAGAGAUCGACGGCAACUUUGAGCUCAAGCCUGGACUUAUCAACAUGGUGCAAUCCAACCAGUUCUGUGGGAAGGCACAUGAUGUUAGUGCUCAUCUCCAACACUUCCUGGAGAUUUGCAGCACAAUCACCAUAUCAGGAGUCCCCAGAGAUGCUAUACUACUUCGCCUCUUCCCAUUCGCACUGUUAGGAAGAGCGAAGCAGUGGUUCUACGCUACAAAGGAGAAGAAUACUACGUGGGCACUCUGCUCCAUGAACUUUUUGGCUAAGUUCUUUCCCAUGGGCAUGACCAAUGCUCUCCGUGGGAAAAUUACAAGUUUUCAGCAACAACAUGAUGAAUCUGUUCAAGAAGCAUGAGAGCGUUUCCAAGACUACAUCCUAGAAUGUCCCCAUCAUGGAAUGGAGAGUUGGCUACUGAUGCAGACAUUUUAUCAUAGGCUCGACAACAGUGCCUGAGAGACCAUGGAUGCUGCAGCUGGAGGAGCAUUCUUAUCACUUACCAUAUCAUAAGCCACAGCUCUUGUGGAGAAGAUGGCGUCCAACCAAAGCUGGAAUGAAGAGAGGACCCAGACAUGCAAGAGAGGUGGAGGUAUGCAUCAGCUCAAGGAGGUAGGCAUGCUGUCUGCAAAGCUAGACCUACCCAUGAAGAAGCUCGAUGAUAGAGCUGGAGAUAAGAAAGAAUUUAUGCACAUCUAUGACUUUCACAUGACUUGUGAGGAGUGUGGAGAUACUGGACACUCAGGCAAUCACUGCCCUGAGAUGCUUGAGGAUGUGAACUACAACAACAAUAACAAGAACUACUACUACAACCGUCCUCAACAAAAUCAAGGUUGGAAUCAACAGAGGCCUAACUACUUAGGUAAUUAUCAAGGUAACAAUUCUUACAACAAUAAUAAUAAUUUUCCACCUCUGAGAAAGUUAGUGUCUAAUCAAGGAAAGCUAAUGGAUAACCUGUCUAAGAAAUUGGCAUCUAAUGAUAAAAUGCUGGAAAAUAUAAAUAAUAGAAUGGAUAAUUUCUCUACUGCCAUCAAGAAUCAAAUUAGCUUUAAUAAAAUGAUUGAAUCUCAGUUAAAUCAAAUAGCUGCUGCUGUUCCUGCUACUAACCCUGGUAUACCAUCACAACCGGAAGGAUUAGAAUCUGCAAAUCUUGUAGACAUGUUUGAUGUAGGUAACUGGAGUAACCCCGUCACUGAAGUUACUACUGACCUUCUGCCAGUCAAGAGAGGCGAUCCAGGACAACCAGUCAUCCCGAUCUCCAUCGGCAUGGUGGACGUCCCAGAAGCACUCUGCAACUUUGGCUCCAGCGUCAACAUUAUACCUAAGGUACUCUAUGAAAAAUUCUUUACAUAUCCUUUAUUAGAAACAACCAUGUGUUUGUAGUUUGCAGAUCAGACGAUAAGUUUUCCAAAAGGAAUAUUGAAGGACCUUUGUGUCUGAGUUGGUACCUUGUAUGCCCUAGCAGACUUCAUGGUGAUAGAGACCGUUCCUCAGCACCGUUAAAGCAAUUAUCUACAUUGGAACUGGAGAAGUCCAUAUGCACUUCCCCUCAGAAAAGGUACGCCGCUAUUUUACUGACCCUAACUAUAUCGUUGAAGAAUCUAAGCAGGUUAGAAAACGACGCAACCGCAACCAGAGGAGGGAAAUCAUCAAGGACGGAUGGGCAGACUAUGAAGGAGAAGUUGUAAGGUCAGAUUACAUUCAGUUUAAACAGAAUUAUCCAGAGGAGAACGUAGCACCAAGUCAGGUGUGGAAAGAGAAGAUAACUAUACAUGAAGAGGAGGCGUCGCCGGAAGUACUGACUCCGCCACUGUUGACGGUCCUUAAUGCUCAUAUUUAAUCAUCAACUAAUCAUAAAAAGGAUCCAAAUGCAACCAACACCUAGACUUAGGGUUUUAUCUGACAGAAUUCCACGAGUUUUGGUGUUUGUCUAUUUCUGCAGGGGGUUAUCAGGAAAUACGGAAGAAAGGCCCACACGUCUGGUUUACAUAGAGAUAUUAACGUGUCGCGCAAUUUUCUACCAUCUAGAAGACUCCAGAAGCCACGGGAACGAACGGGAGGCCGAUCGGGCCCGGGGGCAGGGCGCCCGCCCAAGUCCCUUGGGUGCCUGCCUAGCUACAGUAACCAAUCAGCUUCAACUUCGCGGAUCGUGCUCCACCGACCUAAGGGACCAAGGAAAACCGUACGAUUAAUGUCGGUUUGAUCCGAUGGCCUAGAUUCAUCUGAAAAGACUAUAUAAGCAAGGCCCCCUGGCCCCUGGAGAGCAUACCUCUUCUACAGAAUCAAAGUUAGGGUUUCAAUUCUUCAUCCAAGUAGAGAGGAUCCCUCUAGUUCUUCUAGUUCUACCUCUAGUUCAUCUAGAUCUAGUUCUAGUUCAUCUAGUUCUAGUUCUAGUUCCUCUAGUUCUAGUUCUAGUUACUUCUAGUUGUAAUCUAGAAAAUAGGGAGAGAGAAGAGGAGAGUGGAGGAGGAGCCGGAUCUGUCAGAUCUUCCUCAACAUUGUACUUUUGCAGCAACUGGUUCGUUCUUCAUCGUUCUCCAGGUUCUUCAAUUCAUAAUUCCUGAGUUCUCUAAUUACUUUUAUUUACAUUCAAGUUAUUUAUUGGAUUCCCGCUUGCAUCAAGUGCUCUAGUCUUUAUAACGCUAGAGUAGUAAUUAAUAGAUUAGACGUGGUGUUUAGUCUUGCGAUUACCUGGAAUUGCACCCAAUCCUACGGAUUGUUGUGGUAGCCUUAGGGUAGUAACAGCCCUAACGGUCGACGUAUUCCACCUCGUUCGGAUCGGUGUUUGUAGGACCGUAGUCAGACCUUCCUAGCCCCCUUCUCAUCUCUUUCUGUGGUUAGUGCUCUGAUGUCCCGAUAUAAAUAAUCUUGGAAGUAAUUCUUGAUUCUUAGAUCAACUAAAGAACUCUGAGGAAACUUCCUCUCUUCCCACCAAAAAUAAUUAUAUAGUUAUCCUUGGGCGAUCGUGGAUCUUAAUUAGUACACUCACGUUCUCUGUGGAAAAUCGAUACUCUGGAAUACUCCCGGGUGAAAGCUACAUCGGUAUCCGUGCGCUUGCGGAUUUUUCUGUUUGCGUUUAAAAUACCCAACAAGCUUUCUGGCGCCGUUGCCGGGAACGGUAGCUGCGCUAGUUUCGAACCAAGUCGUCCGUGUAUCCUUUUUCCUUUUCUUUUUUACCACACUCACCUUAUCAUUUUCACCAUACCACAUGGAUUUCAAUCUAAGCAUUAAUGAGCAUGGAAUUUCUUUCAUAGCCACUUCAUUUACUCCAUGCUCAUAUGCAACAUCUUCACAAUCCAUUGGUCUCUGCAACAUCACCACAUUCGAGAUCUCCAACCCCCUCUUCCUUUCUAUUCAUAAAAACUUUAAAAGGGCGGUUGUCGAUGCAUAUGUCUAUAAUAAAUUUUGCAGAUCUCGUUGAGUUGAUCUUGAUAUAGGUCAGCGUUGGAGGGGAAACCACUUCGCCGACAUAAAUUAAUGGUUUCCCAAGGACAAGCUUAGUGUCCUAAAACAAGCACUCAUGAGAUUGUAACAUGAGUUUUUAAUUAUUUGCAAUAUUACCUUGUGUAUUGAGCAUAUAAUAAUAAUUGUAAAAAUAUUCCUUCGGGUAUUCUUGUCACUAACCUUUCCAGGAUUGGAGCAAGAAGAUCGGAUGAAUGACAAGCACAAGGUAUGUCCAACCAAUCAUCAUACAACAUUGAAUUAAAUUCAUCCAAACUUGAAUUUUGCAAAAUUCAAGCUUGGGGGAGUACUUUACAUAAAAACAUCCUUUGCCAUGUUGCUAUGUUGGUUGUCCCUACCUUUGAGACAUGCUCAAUCUGUUAAAUACUAAUCACACUACUUCAUCUCCACUUGAGUAGAUCUCUAUAAAUGCUUUCAUGCUACCUUUAUUUGCUUUAUUAUAUGUCUAGGCUUGGAGUAGUUUCAUUUAUCUCUUAAUUAAGCAUGGUGCUUAGUUUAGGGCUGAUGAUCUUAUUUCCAAGGGAUUUUUAAAUUAAGCAUGAUGCUUAGGUUAAAAUGCCCUCCUAAAUCAAAUUAGACAUGGUGUCUAGGUUGAUUUUUGAGCCGAUAGUAUGCUAUAGUAGAUAUUGGAUAUUUUGUUGGACUAACCCCUGCUGGAGAACUUUUAAUAUUGACCUAGGGAAGUCCUGAGAUACACCAACAUUGGAGACAGAGAGAGACACAUGAAGUUUAACAAUUUACACAAGGAAGACAUAGCUCACAAGAGAUGAUCCAUGGAGGGUGCCACAAACACGAUGCACAACCGCUAAGAGAGGAAAGCUUCCACAAGGUGAUAUUGUACCAUCACCCUUCAAGUAAAGUAAUAUUUUAAGGUACUUGACUAUCACUUCUAUAAGCUUCUCCUUGGUUCUGGCGUUCACAUGAAUAAAAGAGACAAACAUGUAUGAUUUACAACUCUAGAUUAACCAACCCAAUCGAUUCAAUAUGUUUAGUCCUUCCACCUUUGUGAUCCCAUACUCCUAAUCAUAUGACCUAAAAUGUUGCACACUCAAUCUUUGGAAGAUAUAUUUUAUAAAAAAAACAACAUAAAUAUAGAUAGAUUAUCUUUCCAUUAGGUUGAGCGAUCGGAUCUGACAAAUGUUUUAAAUGCUACACUCAUGAUUUUAUUAUCCAUCAACUUUGUCUUGCUCACUAUGCUUAAGGUUAGAGAAGAACAAAUACACUUUUGGUUCUGUUGGUGUUUUCCACCAACAGGGCCCAUGCACUUGAUCUCUGCCUUGUCUCUAUAAGCAGGUACACUUCGAGCAAAAUAUGAAGGAGUUUUACAACUCCCAGACUCCACCAAUUGAAGAACCUAGAUCUACGAGCACAAACACACUGGAGAUACUAGAUAGUCAGGCAAUCACUGCCCUGAGAUGCUUAAGGACGUAACUUCUAGAGUAACACUAUUGUGGAAGUAAUUACUGACCUUCUGCCGGUCAAGAGAGGCAAUCCAGGAUGCCCCGUCAUCCCGAUCUCCAUCGGCAUGGUGGACUUCCCAGAAGCACUCUGUGACUUUGGCUCCAGCGUCAACAUUAUGCACAGGGUACUCUAUGAAAAAUUCUUUACACAUCCUUUAUUAGAAACAUCCAUGUGUUUGCAGCUUGCAGAUUGGACACUAAGUUUCCCAAAGGGAAUAUUGAAGAUCCUCUACGUCCGAGUUGGUACCUUAUAUGCUCCAGCAGACUUCGUGGUGAUAGAGACUGGUACUGAUGAGAGGGCACUCAUCAUCUUAGGGAGGCCAUUCCUGAACACCUCGGGAGCUAUCAUCUACAUUAGUGCUGCCAAGAUCAGUUUCUACAUCAAGGGGAGGAAGGAGACGUUUUCCUUCAAGAACAAGACUACACAAAUCUCAGAGCAAUCCCGACAUGAACCAAGGAAGAGGACCAACAGGAGGGACAGGAACAAGCAAAUGUGGACCAAGUUAGCUAAGAUGGUCACUGCAGUUCAAGGAGGUCAAGAUCGUCAACUCAAGUCGCCUUUCUUGAUCAAGAAGGAUGACCCUAGUGUUCCAGGCAUCGAGUGCACAAUCAACGGAUAUUCUUUUCAGAAGACACUCUACGACACCGGAUCUGACGUCAACACAAUGGCCUCAGUCACUUAUCAGAUCCUGCAUGGAACCAUGCCCCUAAAACCGACAUACAUUCAGCUCCAGAUGAUUUUAAGGUUAUUGACAUGGGAGAAGACGAAUUCGAUCCACCCGUGAUAAUUGGAAGACCGUUCCUCGGCACCGUUAAAGCAAUCAUCUACAUUGGAACCGGAGAAGUCCACAUGAACUUCCCCUCUGAGAAGGUACGCCUCUAUUUUACUGACCCUAACUAUAUAGUUGAAGACUCUAAGCAGGUCAGGACAAGAAGAAGACAACGCAACCGCAACCAGAGGAGGCAAAUUAUCAAGGACGGAUGGACAGACUACGAAGGAGAAGUAGUGAGGUCUGAAGACAUACAGCUUGAACAGAACUGUCCUGAGGAGACCGUAGCACCGAGUCAGGUGUGGAGAGAGAAGAUAGUUAUACACGAAGAGCAGGCUCUGCCGGAACCACCGACUAUGCCAUCCAGCGAAUCCCAGGACGAUUGAGAAACAGAGAGUCCCGUUCGGAGGACUUAAAAACACCGAACGCCUUGCCAAGAGGUAAACUUGGUAGUUAUCUUUUUCCUUUCAAUUAUUUAAAAUAGUUUGCUUAGUUAAUCAGGUUCAUAUCAUCUUAAAAAGAAAAAGAAAAAAAUGUUAAAAAUAGUAAGCCCCAUGUGAGUAUGCUCAUGGCAUAAAACCCAUAAGUACAUUCACUGUGGUGGCGUGAAAAUGAAAUAAAUAUAUUCCUAUCCUAUAAAAAUAAAAUUAUAAAAAUAAAUUUACGAUCCUACUACAGAGAGUAAUAUUUAUUGAGGAGGCUCAACAUGAUAAAGGCUAGAUAUUUAUGCUAACACUUAACUAGUUCCACAAAGCUUUGUUGUCUAAUUGAGCUCCAUAGAAUUCAAGGAUCAAAGAAGACUAGCAGACAGAGGACAUCCUAACCGCUGUCAGGAUGCUGCCGACAUUCAAAUACACCUCCGCCACCUGCUAGCUACAUCAGAAGAAAUUAUGUCAAAAUCCAGCUUGGGGGAGAGCACCCCCAUUUAUCCAGCUAAGUAUUCUACUCACGUUUAAACUUUUCUCGAAUAAUAAAAAGAUGCGUAAUUAUAAAGACCCAAAUAAAGAUUUUGUGCUUAUAUAUAUAUAUUUCUUUGCUUAGUUUGCUAAAUAUAUAAAUAAGUAAAGUUUGCUAUGAACCCUCAUGAUAAGCUCUCACAUGGAAAUGAUGAAUAGUUGCUCUGCCAUGUACCUAGUUUUCAAGUUUAAGCUUUCUCUCAAGUUUAGUCAUGACUGUUAUUAAUUAAGAUUUGCUCUAAACCUGAACUUGUGGGAAGAGUACUUGAUCGGAAGUCUAAGUCGUUAACGGAUAUGAUAUGGGAAGGUUGAGCUGUUGUUUAUCAGUUCCUAGAGAUGCUAGAAUUCUGGAGAAUUUUAUCUUUGAAAAUCUUUAAAAUGUUGCAUGAUGAGUUCAUGUAUGAUGAGAGUUUAAAUUCCUACCACAGCCAUAUAUACAUGCUUGCUAGACUAUGAACCACACAUUUACUUUACUACUUAUGAGCAUUGAGUGUGGUCAAGCUGUGUAGAACCUUAGGAGCUUGUCAUGUGGUUAAAAUCAAGAUUCACUUGCACGUUCACUCAUACAUGCUGUUUCUACUCCGGAAGUACGCACCCACAUAUAUCCACCCAUUUUUAUCUCUAGAACCACCCAAAAAUAUUCUACUCCUAAUCUGGGAGAGAAUAGCCAAAAAUAUUCCUGUUUUUCCCUGUGAAAUAAAUGCUCAAGUUAUCUUGGUUACUACCACUUGCUAUAUUAUCUCAUGAGAUGAGUGCUCUAAAGAACAAAAAAAGAGAAAAAAAAAGAAGAAGAAUACGAGGAAAUAAAAAGGGGCAAGUGCCCGGAACCUCGAAAGAAAAAAAGAAAAAGUGAGACGAGAUGUCAAAAUGGACAAGUGUCCGACAGUAGAAUUAGGGGUACAAGAUACCCACCUGAGAGAAAAGAAAAAGAAAAUAUAGAGCAUCUCAUUCUCAUCAAAAAGUUUCAAAAGAGCAAGAAAGGUAUGUAUCCCCUCAAAAGAGCAUAAGUAGAAUUAGACUUUCACCAUUGUUAUCACCAUCAUUACCAUGCAUCAUUCAUUCGCCACACAUGCACAUCUUGAUCUAACUUAUUGACUUGUUCUUCUGGAUCCAUGGUUUUACUAUGCAAUAAAUGUCUUGUAAGUAUGUAUUAGCUGUCUCCCACCUAUGAGCUCCAGAUAUCAAAAGCCUUAUUAGAGUAGGGUGAGAGAGAAGGCAAUGUCACUAUGCCUUAUACCAAAAAUACCACAUACUUUGAGAGAAGGCAUACACCUUUACUGCCUUGGUAAGGAUCCAGAAAUACCACAAAAGAGAGACUAGAGAGAGUCAUACAAGGAAUCUCUGAGUUUUAUUUGAAAAUCUGCAAAAACUCCAGAGCUAUAGUUAAUCGAAGAACAAGAGACAUGGCGUUUGACUAGACCGUUCUAUCUUUUAACUGCUCAAGACACAGGUGACGGUUGCAAGCCCCAUGGUGGAAGGUAAUAUGAGUAAGUUUAAAUCUUAACAGUUUACCCUAACCUAGAGAUGAGAUCUUGUUUGAACGCAUGUGUAUCUUUAAGGUAUAAAACCACUGCAGAAACUCUUGAGUCCAUCUUUGCUCAGGGACGAGCAAAGGUUAAGCUUGGGGGAGCUUGUUGACGGUCCUUAAUGCUCAUAUUUAAUCAUCAACUAAUCAUGGAAAAGGAUCCAAAUGCAACCAACACCUAGACUUAGGGUUUUAUCUGACAGAAUUCCACGAGUUUUGGUGUUUGUCUAUUUCUGCAGGGGGUUAUCAGGAAAUACGGAAGAAAGGCCCACACGUCGGGUUUACAUAGAGAUAUUAACGUGUCGCGCAAUUUUCUACCAUCUAGAAGACUCCAGAAGCCACGGGAACGAACGGGAGGCCGAUCGGGCCCGGGGGCAGGGCGCCCGCCCAAGUCCCUUGGGUGCCCGCCCAGCUACAGUAACCAAUCAGCUUCAACUUCGCGGAUCGUGCUCCACCGACCUAAGGGACCAAGGAAAACCGUGCGAUUAAUGUCGGUUUGAUCCGACGGCCUAGAUUCAUCUGAAAAGACUAUAUAAGCAAGGCCCCCUGGCCCCUGGAGAGCAUACCUCUUCUACGGAAUCAAAGUUAGGGUUUCAAUUCUUCAUCCAAGUAGAGAGGAUCCCUCUAGUUCUUCUAGUUCUACCUCUAGUUCAUCUAGUUCUAGUUCUAGUUAGUUCUAGUUGUAAUCUAGAAAAUAGGGAGAGAGAAGAGGAGAGCGGAGGAGGAGCCGGAUCUGUCAGAUCUUCCUCAACAUUGUACUUUUGCAGCAACUGGUUCGUUCUUCAUCGUUCUCCAGGUUCUUCAAUUCAUAAUUCCUGAGUUCUCUAAUUACUUUUAUUCACAUUCAAGUUAUUUAUUGGAUUCCCGCUUGUAUCAAGUGCUCUAGUCUUUAUAACGCUAGAGUAGUAAUUAAUAGAUUAGACGUGGUGUUUAGUCUUGCGAUUACCUGGAAUUGCACCCAAUCCUGUGGAUUGUUGUGGUAGCCUUAGGGUAGUGACACCCCUAACGGUCAACGUAUUCCACCUCGUUCGGAUCGGUGUUUGUAGGACCGUAGUCAGACCUUCCUAGCCCCCUUCUCAUCUCUUUCUGUGGUUAGUGCUCUCAUGUCCCGAUAUAAAUAAUCUUGGAAGUAAUUCUUGAUUCUUAGAUCAACUAAAGAACUCUCAGGAAACUUCCUCUCUUCCCACCAAAAAUAAUUAUAUAGUUAUCCUUGGGCGAUCUUGGAUCUUAAUUAGUACACUCACGUUCUCUGUGGAAAAUCGAUACUCUGGAAUACUCCCGGGUGAAAGCUACAUCGGUAUCCGUGCGCUUGCGGAUUUUUCUGUUUGCGUUUAAAAUACCCAACAACCACCCAACGAAUCCCAGGACAAUUGAGAAAACGGAGAGUCCCGUUCGGAGGACUUAAAAACACCGAACGCCUUGCCAAGAGAAUUUAAGAAGACUAGCAGACGGAGGACAUUCUAAUCGCUGUCAGAAUGCUGCUGACUUUCAAAUACACCUCUGCCACCUGCUAGCUACAUCAAAAGAAAUUACGUCAAAAUUCAGCU
RNAcentral lists this long non-coding RNA (20097 nucleotides) under Sorghum bicolor (sorghum). RNAcentral describes it as "long non-coding RNA (SBIC_LNC006548)". Lineage: Eukaryota; Viridiplantae; Streptophyta; Magnoliopsida; Poales; Poaceae. The record is from RNAcentral.